GGCAUAUGGAGAUUCCCAGGAGAGGGGUCGAAUUGGAUCUGUAGCUGCCAGCCUACACCAGAGCCACAGCAACGCAGGAUCAGAGCCGCGUCUGCGACCUACACCACAGCUCAUGGUAAUGCCGGAUCAUUAACCCACUGAGCAAGGGCAGGGAUCGAACCCGCAACCUCAUGGUUCCUAGUCAGAUUCAUUAACCACUGCGCCACGACGGGAACUCCAAAACAUUACUUUCUGUGAAGAAAAAAAAAAUCUGUAUAACUGAGUUUUGCUGCUUAACUUUUCAUCCUUUUUACAUAAGGGAUAAUUAGCAACUAAAAGGGAAAGGACAAACACUUAUUUUUAAUUUAAAAGUCAUGCUGUGAUGAGCUUUAAGAGGAAGUAAUUUGACUUGGAAUAUCAUUGUAGAGCUCAGGACACAGUCAAAGAUCAGACAACAAAAUAUCUUCAUAUUUUCCACUUGGCAUUCAAGCAAAUGUGAAGACUAGAUGAGUGAGUGUCCCAUGUCCCCCAGCUUUUUUUGACAAAUUUGACCACAGUCACACUGUCAUGGAUCCACAGUAAACAAUCCAAGUUAAGCAGUGGGCUAAUGCAGAAUGACCACCUGCUCAGUCGAAAGUUGGUAAUGCAGACUAUAUUGCAACCUCACUGAUAUCCAUCACAAAUUGAUUGAAUCAAGGCAGCCCUUCUAAAAAUGCAUAAUCUUUUCCACCACAUUCCUCACUCUUACAAUGUGUUGACAGACACCUGGCUUGGCAUUUGUAAGUUACCUAAAUAUGGUGAUUUAGUAGUCUGAAACAAAGAGUCAGUAUAAUAUUACUUCCAGCUUGGGAUAAAUAUAUUUUGCAAAUACAAAAUCCUGCUUCAUGUGGGAGGAAGACAUUUUAGAAUAAUGUCAAUUGAACUGUGUUGGCUGAUAUUCACUUUGUUUUCAACUGUGGGCAUAAACAAAUGAACAGAUUUAUUCCUUCUGUCACCAUUACCCGGACACAAGUCACAAUACUCUAGAAAGAACUUAGCACUUGGAAGAGUGCAUUAUAGAAUAAGAGUAAUAAUCCUUAUUUUUAAAGAUUUUAUAAUCAUUGGAGGUUUGCGAAUUGUAUGACUCAGGAGGUAUAUCAACAUAUGGAGAGCUUCCCCUAUCAUGGGCACUGACUGGGAUAUAUUUUAUUCAUAAUUCAGUCAACAAAUACAAAAGAAGUUCAAAGGGAAUCUCCAUAGCCGUUAAGGAUCUUUUAGGGCACUCUUUGGAUAGACAUUCUAAAUAUACUUUAAAUAUCAUUUUCCGCCUUUGGAUUUUGAAGGGAAUGCUUAAGAAUCUCUAGAUUUUAAAAGUUUUUGCCACUUAUAGAAGGCUAUUUUUCUUAAUCCUCUCAUCACACUCUAUAUUGAAACAGUUUUUUCAACCUAUGUACAUAUUAUAGACUAUUAUAAACAAGAGUAGUCUUGGAAGAGGCAGCAUCUUCAAAUUGGUAAGUGUAUUGCUACUGAUGCUUGAAACUGUAAAAGUUAAGUUCUAAGGACUGUACAAAAAAAAUAAUAUAUAAGGGGAAAGAAUGAAAAAAAUAGAUAUAUAUGUAUAUGUAAUUGAAUCACGUUGCUGUACACCUGAAACUAAUACAAUAUUGUAAAUCAACAAUACUUCAAUUUAAAAAAAUCACCCUAUAUUAUAAACACUAUUUAAAAUAAAAGAAUGAGGAAGGGAAACCUAGGAUGAAGACCUAUCCCAAAGCAGUGUAACGUUGAUCUCUGGCAGGAUGUCAGAGCAGUUAAAAAGCAGGGCUCUGGACUCACAUCCUCUGGCUUCCAAGCUCCACUCUGCUUUUCUCUGUGCAUUAGUUUUCUCAUAUUUUUAACAGCUAGGUAAGAAUUGGAAAAGAAAUGCAAUGUACUGUUUGAUAUUUUAUAAAUGCAUACAAUGGAACAAAAAGAUUAAAAAUACAUGAAAACAUAUACUCAAGAAUGUAUGACCACAAUUUUAAUAGUAUACUUUAGCUAGUUGCCUAUUUGCUUAAGAAAUAUUAUCUAGUACUAACUAUGCAUCAGGCAUUGUGAGGUCUUAAAAGACAUAGUCCCUAUCUCCCACCUUGUAGCUUUUGGAGAAGGAAGAAGAGGAACAGCAAGAACAAUGUUCUCUCUAUUAGUGCUAUGAGAGAGAUGAGAGAAGACAAACUUUUCAGGCAAUUUAUCCUGUACUCCAGACUAGAGUAGAGAGGCAAGAAAUGUCAGAGAGGCUUCAUUGUCCUAUGAAGUGGUUCAGCAUUUAACCUUAGUAAUGGGGAACAUUUGAAGAAUGUUUUCCAUCCCACUAUGUACUUUGAGAGGAUGGAAUGGAGGAAGGCUUAAGUGAGGCAGAGAAAUCACUUAGCUGGCCAUUUCCAGAACCCAUGAUCUGGGAGGGAGCUGAGUGCUCUGAACUAAGGCAGUGGAGCUGGGCUAGGGAAGAGGAAGAAAAUUAGAGAGACAUUAGGGUGAAAGACUAUAUAUAGAAUUGCUGUCACUAAUUGAGUUGAAUGGUUAAGGGAGAAAUAGAGAGUAUAUUCUUGGGUUACUUGAUGUAGUCAACUGGGUGGAUGGAUAUGCCACUGAAGAUGAAGAACAUGGAAGAAUGAAGUGGAUGGAGGUAAGAAGGGGCUGUCUCCAGAUUUGCAUCUACUUAGGCAGAAAUGCAGAGGUAAAUUUCUUCAAAAGAAGUUUAAUGGAUAGUAGAACACAUCUGCCUACUACACAGAAGAAAGGUCUGGAUUAGAAAUGCAGAUAUGGGAGUUAUAAAAAUGGUAGUUUCAGCCAUGAGAGCCAUAUUUUCACCCAAAGAGAGGGGGUGAAAUGGGACAAAAACAAAGAGAAGUGAUGAGGAACCCCAACAUAUAACAGAUAGAAAUGGAAACCAGCCAACAACUGUCAAGAGUAACUACGAGAAAUCUGGGACAAAACAGUCUCGAUGGUACCAAAGAAAGAGGUGUUACAAGAAGAGGAAAUGUUCUCUAGGAACGAACUCAGCACAGAAGCUUAGCAGGUUGACAAAUUAAGUAUGUUAUUUGAUAUGAGCAACUGGGAAGCCAUGGACAAUGUUGGGAAAAAGAUAUCUGCUUGGGGUGCAGAGGUGAUUGUCCAGAGCAAAGGUGUAGAGGUGUGGAAGUUCUGGGAGGAGGAGUUGCUCUUUAUAGAAGUUUGACAGAGUAACAGUUAAAGGGAGACACAUGGCCAAGUAAGGCUCUUGUUUCUGAUCUUCUGGCUCUUAGAUUUGAGAUUUAAACAUGUUUGCCUGCUGAUAGAAAAAGGAUAUAUGGAAAGAGUGGACAACUUUUGGAGCAAAAUGUGAUAGGAUCCAGACAACAGAAGUACAGGUAUACACAAAGAGAGGGUGGCGGUCUGGGGUACAGUUUGCUGGAGAUGAGUAGUAGUUUGAGGUGGUCGUGACUGCCUUUUUUUUAUGAAAUAGAAAAGGAUGCUUGUCUUCAAAAAGUGAUGAUGAAGAAAUCCUGUAGAGGAUUUGAAGAGAGGGUUGAUUAAAAGAAUCGAAGGAAAGAAGAGGAAAGGAACCAGAGGAAAGGCGUGCUGGUUAACAUUCAAGCCCAGAUGGGAUGGCUUUGGAAUGGUGGCACCAAGCCUCAUGCUAGGCGAGAACUCGGAUCUGGGCUGUCUAAUCAAGAAGGUGAUAGGAAUGGAGUAGGCACAGGUAGUUGUAGAAAUCCCAAUAAAGGACCAUAGUUAAAGAGGGAAACUUAGGGGACAUUGAGAGAUCACUUUAAUAACUGCUCAAAAAAGCCAUCAGAACAAGGCAGGCUUGCUUGACUAUUGGAAAUGUGAGAAUUUCGUCAGGUCAUUGGGUGGGGGAUGGGAUGAGGCCUGAAUUGAGAUUCAGACCAAGGGCAGGAGUUUGAGGACUGCCUUUCUGCUGAUCUGAAUACACACCUUACCGGAUACCAAAGAGGAGCUAGUACUGCCAGAAAGUAGGAGGCGGUCUUUUCUGAGUCCUACUCCCCUUGGAGGAUAAAACUAUAGCUCACCCGAUCCUGGGAGCAGAGACUUCUUGCCUGCCUGCUUGCAUCUCUCAUAAGCGUCCUAUCUUAAUACAUCUAUUUCUGNGGUCUAUCACUGUGUCUCUCACUGAAUUCCUUCUGUGCAGAGGCAUGAAGAACCUGAACAUCAGGGAGUCCAGACACAGGGUGAGUGAUUCUAAUUUAAAACCAUGGGUUUAAGUCCCAAUCUGGGUUUAGACCAGGUUCGAGUCCCGGCACAUGGGUUCAAGGCCCAAUCUGUGUUCUGGCUAGGUUCAGGCCAUUAGUACUAUCAGUUUCAAAGGCUGUAUAAAUAGAACCACUUAGAGGGGCAGAAUCCAUACCACAUAGCAGAGUGGACACUCUGGGAUAAGUGGCUAAGAAUUUGGGCAGUGCUCUUAUGGAGGAAACCAUAUGUCUCCCCCAGUCUCAACACCCCUGAAUGACCUCAGAAGAGCUAUGGCUGAGUAUACCUGGCCCACCCUUUCCUAAUCCACACAGCAUACAUGCCUUUCUUAAGAAACAUCAAUUAUUUCUGACUCAAACCUAUUUCUUCACUUUUUUUUUUCUUUUUAGGCCACACCUGCAGCAUAUGGAAGGUCCCCAGCUAGAGGUCCAAUCAGAGCUAUAGCUGCAGGCCUACACCACAGCCACAGCAACUCAGAAUCCAAGCCACGUCUGUGACCUAUGCCACAGCUCAUAGCAAUGCCGGAUCCUUAACCCACUGAGCAAGGCCAGGGAUUGAGCCCACAUCCUUGUGGAUACUAGUCAGGCUCGUUAACUGCUGAGCCAUGAAGGGAACUCCCUAUUUCUUCACUUUUGAAGGCAGGGAAAGAUCAUCUAGUCUUAAGCUCAGGAAGGUGUUUAUUGGCAUCAUAUUAACCCUUUAGUGACAUAUAGUUCACUGAUAUCUUUAUAUUUGAGGAUAAGGCCUUGUGAAAAAUCAUACUCCCUUGCAGAUGUCUCAUUGUAUGUCUCGCAAGCAGAGAAAUUUGAAUGUUCAAUAUGCCAGGCUGUAUGCUUUCUUUUCUGUUAUUACAUUAUACUUCAGAUCCAUAUUUUUGUCUGGCUUGCUUAAAGACAUUUAGAAAUUUAUUGCAUUCAUCUUUUUCUUUUUCAUCCAAGGCAGCAUCCUCAAGAGGAACAGGACAGAAUAGUAAAUCCUAGAAACAGAGGAAUCCUAGGCUAGCAUCCUAGCUCUACCACUUAUGACUGGGUAUCAUCUAACUAGCCACAUAACUCUUUAAGCCUCAGACUUCCUUCUUGUAUAGGAAAAAAGACUUGUCUAGAUAUUAUGAUAACUUCCAGUUCUAAAAUAUUUUGUAAGAGAGAAAUCUUACUUUGUUAAAGACAAUAUGAAGUGUAACAGUAAAAGUCAAACAGUCAAGAACAUCUGCAAUCAGGGUAGGUAGCAGGCUGUGCCCAUGUGUUCUAAAAGCCUAGUCCUGACACCAGAGUUUUACACUGCAACAGCAUAAUCAUUCCUACCAGCAUGUUCCAUUAAAGCUUGACUUACUGCCAGGGAAUUCACCUGCUGACACAGUAAAACUCCUAACUGGAAGCAUUAACAUUGCAAUGUCAGAUGGGGAAAAAAAAAUGUUCAUAAAUUCCACGAACGUGCACUGCUUUACUUGAGGUCCUGGUUGCAAACUCAUUAUUUAUGCUGUGUACAGUAGGCCAUCAACAGAUCCCACUGGGAAAUUAGUUUGCAAUUUAGAAUCGUUUCAAAGUACAAGUGAUUCUCAAGUCAUUUUCCGAGGUUAAAUGAGAACUCUUAUUGCUUUCCGUGGGCUCAGAGGGAAUUUUUACUCUGUGUGUUCCCUCCUCCCCCAGCUCCUGCUACACUGUCUUGAUUUUUCUUUCUUAAAUGCGCUUUGGUGCUAAAUCUCUCUUUUUCAAUUUUUGAAAGCUGGUAAAUGGAAUGGUAUUUGUUGCAUUUUCUUGCUUGCUGGGACUCCUUAAGCACCUCACUUUUGAUUACUGCUUUUAUUCUUUGAAGACUCCUGAGAGGUUUCCCUGUGCUCUA
RNAcentral lists this long non-coding RNA (6024 nucleotides) under Sus scrofa (pig). Its description in RNAcentral is "lncRNA (ENSSSCG00040001749.1)". Lineage: Eukaryota; Metazoa; Chordata; Mammalia; Artiodactyla; Suidae. The record is from RNAcentral.